Molecule: long non-coding RNA, 1686 nt
Filed under: Canis lupus familiaris (dog)
Lineage: Eukaryota; Metazoa; Chordata; Mammalia; Carnivora; Canidae
Description: lncRNA (ENSCAFG00040004115.1)
Source: RNAcentral
ACGGCGUCCCUUUUCAGACUCCUUUUGGGAGCGGAGCAGCUGCACAGAGCCUGUGAGUGGGAAUUUUGCGUGUCCUUAUGUGGCCCCAAAUCUCUGAUGUUCUGAUGUGGCCUCAAAUCUCAGCCUCCCGUGAUGCCAGCUUUUCGAGGCUCCGACGAUCCACUCCCCGGAUCGAGGAAGACACGGGCCAAGAAUCCCAUCUGGGAGGAAGCACCGAGAGAGGAGGGGCGUGAGGUUGGAGGGCGGUGGGAGGGGAUGGGGGCAGACACAGGGGAGGCGGGGGUCCCCGGCCAGACCUAAGGACGCACGGGGUUUCCGCUGGACGGGGCGCCCACAGGGAGGCAGGCGGGGUGGUGGGGAGCAGGGACGUGAGCAGCCCCCGAGCACGCAACCGCGGGCGGGGGACUGCCGAGCUCCCAGGUGGGUGACAUCGAGCCUAGCCGCUUGUCUCUGCCUUGUGACGGUCUCAGGCCUUAGGUUAGGACGCUGAGUCCCUGGGAGGUCGUCUCGUUUGCUCAGCAUCACAGAGCGAGGCAGCGGUUCAACCGGAGUUCACAGACCCGUGCUGGGCACCUUGGGCGGCGGAGAGGCUGAAGACAGGCCGGCUCCUCCCCAGCAGGUGCUCCCGGGAGCGGGGACUCCUCCGCAGGUGACCCCCUCCUAACAGGGGCCCGGGCGGCCCAAGCACAGAGCCGCGGUGUCCCCCGUGGGGUCUUUCCCUGCACCCUGCACACCGCCCUCCUCUGCAGGAACCCCGCGUCCCAGAGGCCGUCCCGGGCACUGGGGACGUGUCCGUGCGCUCACACGGAUUUAAGGGGCCCGCCAAGUCCGCGAGUCUGAGUCUGAGUCCCGUGCGCCGUGGGGUCGGUGCCGCGGCCGGCAGCACGCCUUGGCCCUGGCCGCCUGUUGUCCGCGCCGCCCUGGGGCCUGGACCCCUGGCCCAAAGACCCCACGAGCCUGGGCAGUGGAGGGGGGCUGGUGGCCUGUGCUGUGUCCACCCGCUGCCCUGCUCCAGGGUCCCAGGGACCCUCCGUCUGAGUUGGUCCGGGGGCCUGCGUGGCCCCAACCGUCCCUGCUGGAAAAUGACCAGGGUUUCCCGCAGGGACGCAUCGGCUGGCUCUGCCUCGGUGGCUCCCAGGUGCCCGAGCCACGUUCCUCCUGCCACUUCACAGACUCCGAGGACGGAUGGGCAGCCCCGGACUCCGCGAUGGGCCAGGCUGUGCCUCCCCGCCCCCCCCCGCCCCCCAAGUGUUAUUCAGCGACUGAGGGUUCCCCGGAUACUCUCUGGAGCUCGGCCAGUCACGGGCUCCCAGAGGGCACAGCUCCCGUCGUCCCCGCGGCUUUGCUCCUGCCACCCCCCCCCACCCCAGGGACGUCUUCUCUGCCCCCUGGAAUCCUACUUGUCCGAGAUGUGCCCUGUCCCACGGAGGAUCCCAGAGCUGUCCUUAAACAGCCAAAGGUGAGGUGUGUCUUUCUCAUCCCGGGCAAUAAAAAAAUAAAAAUUAAAAAAAAAAUCCAUUAGUCCUUGAGCAGGAGGUGCCCCGGUGGGGGCAACCUCUUGCAGAUGAGCGCUGUGUAGGGCCGUCCGUCAGCACGGACCCCAGAUUCCUGGCACCACCCCCUCCCCGAGCAGGCCCUCGGCCUGUGACGGCUGGUCUGGGUCGUCUCUAAGCUGCAAGGUGUCCC